Molecule: ribosomal RNA, 252 nt
Filed under: uncultured bacterium
Lineage: Bacteria
Description: partial 16S ribosomal RNA
Rfam family: Bacterial small subunit ribosomal RNA
Source: RNAcentral
UACGGAGGAUGCGAGUGUUAUCCGGAUUUAUUGGGUUUAAAGGGUGCGCAGGCGGAUUUUUAAGUCAGCGGUCAAAUCGUGGGGCUCAACCCCAUCCAGCCGUUGAAACUGGGGAUCUAGAGUGUGCGAGAGGUAUGCGGAAUGCGUGGUGUAGCGGUGAAAUGCAUAGAUAUCACGCAGAACCCCGAUUGCGAAGGCAGCAUACCGGUGCACAACUGACGCUCAGGCACGAAAGCGUGGGUAUCGAACAGG